RNAcentral lists this transfer RNA (72 nucleotides) under Schistosoma japonicum. RNAcentral describes it as "tRNA-OTHER". Lineage: Eukaryota; Metazoa; Platyhelminthes; Trematoda; Strigeidida; Schistosomatidae. The record is from RNAcentral.
GGCUCAGUGGUUCAAUGGUAAAGCGCUAGACGUUGAGCUAGAGGGUUCUGGGUUCGAUCCCCGACAGGGUCG